AAGGCAACCAAAAGUCCGAACUGAUGGAAAGGGCUAGGCAAUCCACAUAUAGUGUAACAAUCUUCACUUCUCUAUACGACUAAAUUCGUUUGAACGGGGCAGUGGUAACCUUGAAAGGUGGACACCAAUCAGGUAGAUUCAUAGAAGGGUAUCUAGAAGGUAGAAGCUUUCUUCCUCGUUUACUUGGACACGAGCUGCAAUUUUGGUUCAAAAGUAUUUCCCUCCUUCACUCUUGCAGGUAACUGGUCACUCUAUUUAUUAUUCUUUCAAACCAGAAUUCUGAAGUACUUGUCUUCUUAAUUUUCUUCAGAUAGCUUACUCCGACAUCGGGCAACAUCACACAGCAUCAUCGCCUUUGUAUGUGGAGACUGGAAAGCUGGCCUAGCUGCUAGACAACCCCAUGAUCUCAUAAUGCAGAUGUCCGGCGGCCAUUCUUCUACCCUGAUUUCAUCGGCCAAAUGUUUGCCGACACCGACUCUAGAUGGGUAGUCUAGCACUCUAGCCAUGCUUGGAAUGGAAGCGAAAGCAUCCUGCAUUGUCUUGGUGGAGCUGGAAGAGAAGAAGUGGUGACUUGUGAGAACCAGAGAAACUCCUAUGUAGGUUCCUCCCGACUUAUAACAAAAACAAUUCACGACAAGAAGAAUCUUGUGGAUCAUGGGCAAGACAAGCCGAUCCUUUCUUGUUUACUUUCUGUAGCCAUGUCUAAAGUAUUGGCGACAGGAUUUGAUUCCACUCGUGCAGCACGGCUGGUUGGUAAGGUAUCCGUAACAUUUGGCAUCUCAUUUGAGUUUUAUAAUAUGAUGCAUAUCAAGAUCAUGAAAA
Molecule: long non-coding RNA, 822 nt
Organism: Hordeum vulgare subsp. vulgare (domesticated barley)
Lineage: Eukaryota; Viridiplantae; Streptophyta; Magnoliopsida; Poales; Poaceae
Exons: 3
Source: RefSeq, a predicted model, not a curated record